RNAcentral lists this transfer RNA (84 nucleotides) under [Clostridium] innocuum. Its description in RNAcentral is "tRNA_His_GTG". It matches the Rfam family "tRNA". From Rfam's summary of the family: Transfer RNA (tRNA) molecules are approximately 80 nucleotides in length. Their secondary structure includes four short double-helical elements and three loops (D, anti-codon, and T loops). Lineage: Bacteria; Bacillati; Bacillota; Clostridia; Eubacteriales; Clostridiaceae. The record is from RNAcentral.
UUGGGCGUGGUGGAAUGGUAGACACGCCUGGUUGUGGCCCAGGUGUCGUAAGACAUGAGGGUUCAAGUCCCUCCGUUCAACCCA